AUUGCUUCUCGGCCUUUUAGCUAAGAUCAAGUGUAGCUGUUUUGAGGUUACUUACAAAUUAGAGUAAAAUUGUUUUACACUUUCAGUUGUUUGGAAUCCACUCUUAAAUUUAGGGUACUUUCUUCCGGAGUUCCACUUUUCCCGAAAUCCACGAAAAGCGAAA
This is a small nuclear RNA of Heterocephalus glaber (naked mole-rat), 163 nucleotides long. Its record names the gene U2. It matches the Rfam family "U2 spliceosomal RNA". From Rfam's summary of the family: U2 is a small nuclear RNA (snRNA) component of the spliceosome (involved in pre-mRNA splicing). NCBI's taxonomy places the organism in Eukaryota, Metazoa, Chordata, Mammalia, Rodentia, Bathyergidae. The record is from Ensembl.